Molecule: ribosomal RNA, 510 nt
Filed under: uncultured bacterium
Lineage: Bacteria
Description: bacterial SSU rRNA
Rfam family: Bacterial small subunit ribosomal RNA
Source: RNAcentral
GAUGAACGCUAGCGGAAGGCUUAAUACAUGCAAGUCGAGCGGUAAAAAUCUGAGCAAUUGGAUUUGAGAGCGGCGCACGGGUGAGUAACGCGUACAUGACCUACCUUUAAGAUCGGGAUAGCCCUGGGAAACUGGGAUUAAUACCGGAUGUGAUAAUAAGUAUAGAGAUUUAUUAUUAAAGCUGAGGCGCUUAGAGAUGGGUGUGCGUCUGAUUAGCUAGUUGGUAGGGUAAAGGCCUACCAAGGCGACGAUCAGUAGGGGGCGUGAGAGCGUGAUCCCCCACACGGGUACUGAGACACGGACCCGACUCCUACGGGAGGCAGCAGUAGGGAAUAUUGGUCAAUGGACGGAAGUCUGAACCAGCCAUUCCGCGUGCAGGAUGAAGGCCUUCGGGUUGUAAACUGCUUUUGUACGGAACGAAACGGCGAGCUCUAAUACAGUUUGCUAAUGACGGUACCGUAAGAAUAAGCACCGGCUAACUACGUGCCAGCAGCCGCGGUAAAGCUACGU